UACGUAGGGCGCAAGCGUUAUCCGGAAUUAUUGGGCGUAAAGAGCUCGUAGGCGGUUUGUCGCGUCUGCCGUGAAAGUCCGGGGCUCAACUCCGGAUCUGUGGUGGGUACGGGCAGACUAGAGUGAUGUAGGGGAGACUGGAAUUCCUGGUGUAGCGGUGAAAUGCGCAGAUAUCAGGAGGAACACCGAUGGCGAAGGCAGGUCUCUGGGCAUUAACUGACGCUGAGGAGCGAAAGCAUGGGGAGCGAACAGG
This 253-nucleotide ribosomal RNA is filed under the name uncultured bacterium. Its description in RNAcentral is "partial 16S ribosomal RNA". It matches the Rfam family "Bacterial small subunit ribosomal RNA", at positions 524 to 776 of the family's 1533-position model. The record is from RNAcentral.